This 165-nucleotide small nuclear RNA is filed under the name Suricata suricatta (meerkat). Its description in RNAcentral is "U2 spliceosomal RNA (ENSSSUG00005007172.1)". It matches the Rfam family "U2 spliceosomal RNA". From Rfam's summary of the family: U2 is a small nuclear RNA (snRNA) component of the spliceosome (involved in pre-mRNA splicing). Complementary binding between U2 snRNA (in an area lying towards the 5' end but 3' to hairpin I) and the branchpoint sequence (BPS) of the intron results the bulging out of an unpaired adenosine, on the BPS, which initiates a nucleophilic attack at the intronic 5' splice site, thus starting the first of two transesterification reactions that mediate splicing. The record is from Rfam by way of RNAcentral. Lineage: Eukaryota; Metazoa; Chordata; Mammalia; Carnivora; Herpestidae.
AUCGCUUCUCUGCCUUUUGGCUAAGAUCAAGUGUAGUAUCUGUUCUUAUCAGUUUAAAAUAUCCCCAAUCUACCCGUUAGCACACUCUCCAAAUCUCCAGGAGAUCUUAGAUGCUCCAUCCCAAAUAAGGCUGAAUGUAUUUUUAAGAUGCUCCUGAAAACUCCU